CAGUCGCCACGGUAACACGAAGGGGGCUAGCGUUGUUCGGAAUUACUGGGCGUAAAGCGCACGCAGGCGGCUCGAUAAAUUAGAAGUGAAAGCCUUGGGCUUAACCUGAGAAUUGCUUUUAAGACUGUCGAGCUAGAAUCCAGAAGAGGGUAGUGGAAUUCCGAGUGUAGAGGUGAAAUUCGUAGAUAUUCGGAAGAACACCAGUGGCGAAGGCGACUACCUGGUCUGGCAUUGACGCUCAUGUGCGAAAGCGUGGGGAGCAAACAGGAUUAGAUACCCCCGUAGUCCCUGUCUCUUAUAA
RNAcentral lists this ribosomal RNA (301 nucleotides) under uncultured bacterium. RNAcentral's name for it is "partial 16S ribosomal RNA". It matches the Rfam family "Bacterial small subunit ribosomal RNA", at positions 509 to 809 of the family's 1533-position model. The record is from RNAcentral.